GCGAACGUAGUUCAGUGGUAGACCCCCACCUUGCCAAGGUGGGGGUCGCGGGUUCGAAUCCCGUCGUUCGCU
This 72-nucleotide transfer RNA is filed under the name Streptococcus suis. Its description in RNAcentral is "tRNA-Gly". It matches the Rfam family "tRNA". Rfam says of the family: Transfer RNA (tRNA) molecules are approximately 80 nucleotides in length. Their secondary structure includes four short double-helical elements and three loops (D, anti-codon, and T loops). Lineage: Bacteria; Bacillati; Bacillota; Bacilli; Lactobacillales; Streptococcaceae. The record is from RNAcentral. RNAcentral also lists the same sequence under 1 other name.